RNAcentral lists this ribosomal RNA (253 nucleotides) under uncultured bacterium. RNAcentral's name for it is "partial 16S ribosomal RNA". It matches the Rfam family "Bacterial small subunit ribosomal RNA", at positions 524 to 776 of the family's 1533-position model. The record is from RNAcentral.
AACGUAGGUGGCGAGCGUUAUCCGGAAUUACUGGGCGUAAAGGGCGCGUAGGCGGCCUGCUAAGUCGGAUGUGAAAUCCCUCGGCUCAACCGAGGAACUGCAUCCGAUACUGGCGGGCUUGAAUCCGGGAGAGGGAUGUGGAAUUCCAGGUGUAGCGGUGAAAUGCGUAGAUAUCUGGAGGAACACCGGUGGCGAAGGCGGCAUCCUGGACCGGUAUUGACGCUGAGGCGCGAAAGCUAGGGGAGCAAACGGG